This 427-nucleotide ribosomal RNA is filed under the name uncultured bacterium. Its description in RNAcentral is "partial 16S ribosomal RNA". It matches the Rfam family "Bacterial small subunit ribosomal RNA", at positions 354 to 796 of the family's 1533-position model. The record is from RNAcentral.
GUGGGGAAUAUUGGGCAAUGGGGGAAACCCUGACCCAGCGACGCCGCGUGAGGGAAGAAGGCCUUAGGGUCGUAAACCUCUGUUGUGUGGGAAGAAGAGCGUGACGGUACCACACGAGGAAGUCCCGGCUAACUACGUGCCAGCAGCCGCGGUAAUACGUAGGGGACGAGCGUUGUCCGGAUUUACUGGGCGUAAAGGGCGCGUAGGCGGUCAUUUAAGUCAGCUGUGAAAUGGUUUGGCUUAACCGGAUCAUGCGGUUGAAACUGGAUGACUGGAGUGCUGGGGAGGCAAGUGGAAUUCCCAGUGUAGCGGUGAAAUGCGUAGAUAUUGGGAAGAACACCGGUGGCGAAGGCGACUUGCUGGCCAGUAACUGACGCUGAGGCGCGAAAGCCAGGGGAGCAAACGGGAUUAGAAACCCCAGUAGUCC